UCGAUCACCACAAGAUAAUAAUAAUAAACACAUUAUUAUUAUUAAUUUAAAUUUUGUUAAUUAAAUAAACCAAAUUAAAUUUCGGCGACCGAUCAGACUACGCAGAGUUAGCCGGGGGUUCCGCUACCCGGCCAGCGGACGUUUUUCGCAAAAUUUUAAUGAACAAUUCAUUUGAAAUCGACGUUGUUUUUCGCAUCAACACUUGAUACUUUAAAGCACAACUCUUGCGCAGUCACAACCCUAAUC
Molecule: long non-coding RNA, 246 nt
Filed under: Lathyrus oleraceus (garden pea)
Lineage: Eukaryota; Viridiplantae; Streptophyta; Magnoliopsida; Fabales; Fabaceae
Description: Pisum sativum (pea) long non-coding RNA (PSAT_LNC011730)
Source: RNAcentral